GCUAAGGAUUUCUUUACUGUGUGAUCAUAACAGGAGGAUGCUGUGGAAAUACGUCCAGUGCCGGAAUGUCCCAAGGAACAUCUGGGCAACAGAAUACUGGUCAAAGUGCUGACUCUGAAGUUUGAGAUUGAAAUUGAGCCUCUGUUUGCCAGUAUUGCCCUCUAUGAUGUUAAAGAAAGAAAAAAGAUCUCGGAAAAUUUCCACUGUGACCUGAACUCUGACCAGUUCAAAGGGUUCCUGCGAGCUCACACCCCCUCAGUCGACCCAUCGAGUCAGGCGAGGUCUGCAGUGUUCUCAGUCACCUACCCAUCCUCAGACAUCUACCUGGUUGUCAAGAUUGAAAAGGUCCUUCAGCAGGGGGAGAUUGCAGACUGUGCAGAACCCUACAUGGUCAUCAAAGAAAGUGAUGGUGGAAAGGUAUGGUCAUCUAAGUACUGGUGCCAUCUUAGGAUGAACAAAUUUCCAAAAGUGUUC
Cricetulus griseus (Chinese hamster) is the source of this 474-nucleotide non-coding RNA. The record is from RefSeq and is a predicted model, not a curated record. NCBI's taxonomy places the organism in Eukaryota, Metazoa, Chordata, Mammalia, Rodentia, Cricetidae.